GGCUGGGUAGGAAGCACGCUAGCAGGGGCCUCUGGCCUUGCUGAGGGUCCCUGUUUCCCCUUUUCCUUCCUUUUCACCCAACAAAACCCUGCUUUACUCACCCUUCAAACCAUCUAUGAGCCUAAAUUGUCGUGGUCGUGGAAUGGACAAGGACCCAGUCUUUAGCUGAACUAAGGGAAAGUCCUGCUUUUUGGCGCGCAACAGGGGAGCUCAAGAAACAGGCCUCACUCACGGCAUAUGGAACUAACCACGCCCCUAACUAAGAAGGCACACCUUAGUUGCAGUUAGCACACAAUUAAAGCAACUCUCCAAGUUUUACCUUAAAGUUCAAAAUUGCUAGGAGUUGAAACUACUAGAAAUAUAUUUACAUGCAAGAGUCAAAGAAACUUUGAACUAUUUAUGGCCUUUAAUAAUUAAGUAAGGUAUACUCCUGUGAUCAAGACUUGGAGCAUAUUUGUUUCUCUCUGCCUGGUUCCUCUAGAAAUUGGAAACUAUCAGAACAGAGACCAACUCCGUUUCCCGAUCCCUUUGCAAUCUGCAUUGAACCAUGAGUCAAGUUCUUGAUAAAGGAGUGAAAAUGGUAAGUCUAAAGCAAUGAAAAGCUGCUGUAUUGACUACACAUGCCUUCAUUUCUUCUACCCUGCUUCUUUCAUGCCUGCUUAUCUGAAUGACACCAGGAUGACAUUUAAGGCACAUCUGAAGAUGGGGAAACCACAGCACAGAAUAAGGCUGGGCCCUUGAAUCAAUAAAUGAAGGAGAACUACUCAAGAGAACAAAACCACCAGCAAUAUCCACCUGUAUUUGUCUUUUCAUAAUGUGUGACACAUGUGCUCAUGGAUUAUUGUCCGAAGCAAGACAUGUGACCAAGCCUAACAUCAACUGGGUGAAGAGCUAUAUGUUCCUUUCUCAAGAGGCACUACAAGUGACAUGCCACUGGGCAGUUUAGCAAAAGCUGGAGGUGCCUUGACAUUUGCAGUACACUGAAACAGUGGCUGGCUUGAAAAAUCCCAAAACGAUUUUCUGCAGGAGAGCCCUUUUGACUAAUAUGAGGUAUUAAUCCCUAAUAAAUACUUUGCACCCAAAACUUCAUCUUAGUGUAUGGUGCUGGAGCUUUCCGAACUGUGACAUCAACUAAUUUCUUCUAAAGUGUUAUUAGCAAAUAGCAGCUUAAUGUGCCACACCUCUGAGUACACUGUAGUUUAAGAAGAGACCCCUGAAAACACAAUGCCUUUAUCCAAAAAUAGUCAUUCUAAAAUGCUAGGAUUCUUGUAACUUGGUAGGCUAGAAAUUUACAUAAUGCUUAGAGAGCAAAAAAAAAACCUUCCUAAAGUAAUUUUAAUGUAUCUCAUUAAAAGGCUACUUAUUGUUCAUUAACCAUUUACCAACACAGCUAGAAAAAAAAAGCCACAGUUAAUUCUACUAAAAAUGGAUAAUUUCACUUUUGAUAGUAUACAUAAUUAUUUUAAAACUAAAAAUGUUUCAGGCACUGUAUUAAAUUCUGUAAAUUUAUUUUCACCAAUUUAUUCUUGGAGCAAUCCCUUAUGUAACUUUAUAGAUAAGAAAACCAAGGCUCAAAAAAGGUAGAUAGAUAGAUGAUAGAUAGAUAGAGAGAUGGAUAGAUAGACAGAUAGAUAAAAUGAAGAUGCAAAGCAAAAGCACAAGUCAAAAUAUCAAAAGCCUAUGACCCUAACUUUCUGAGUAAAAAGCAAAGGUGAAAUUUGGGAAGGGGAAAUAGUAUAGGUUCUAUCAUUAGUGUUCAUCCUAUCACUGGCAGAUCCAGAAUUUUGGAGCAGAGACUCAGCAGAAAAAAAGAAGAGGAAAGGUUAGAGGCCUGAGAUUAUUUCAGGACUGAUUCUUUUUGGGGGGAAUUGCCUUAACCAAUGUCAAAUGCUGCAGGAAAAUUUUGUAUGAAGUUUGACAUAAAACGCUAUAAAUAAAAUAUUUUAACUUGA
RNAcentral lists this long non-coding RNA (1952 nucleotides) under Homo sapiens (human). RNAcentral's name for it is "long intergenic non-protein coding RNA 1515". Lineage: Eukaryota; Metazoa; Chordata; Mammalia; Primates; Hominidae. The record is from RNAcentral.